This 453-nucleotide ribosomal RNA is filed under the name uncultured bacterium. Its description in RNAcentral is "bacterial SSU rRNA". It matches the Rfam family "Bacterial small subunit ribosomal RNA", at positions 28 to 493 of the family's 1533-position model. The record is from RNAcentral.
GAUGAACGCUGGCGGCGUGCUUAACACAUGCAAGUCGAACGAUUGAAGCUGGAGCUUGCUCCGGCCGAUUUAGUGGCGGACGGGUGAGUAACGCGUGGGUAACCUGCCUCAUACAGGGGGAUAGCAGUUGGAAACGACUGGUAAAACCGCAUAAGCGCACGGUAUCGCAUGAUACAGUGUGAAGACACUCCGGUGGUAUGAGAUGGACCCGCGUCUGAUUAGCUAGUUGGUGAGGUAACGGCCCACCAAGGCGACGAUCAGUAGCCGGCCUGAGAGGGUGAACGGCCACAUUGGGACUGAGACACGGCCCAAACUCCUACGGGAGGCAGCAGUGGGGAAUAUUGCACAAUGGGGGAAACCCUGAUGCAGCGACGCCGCGUGAGUGAUGAAGUAUUUCGGUAUGUAAAGCUCUAUCAGCAGGGAAGAUAAUGACGGUACCUGACUAAGAAGCAC